This 253-nucleotide ribosomal RNA is filed under the name uncultured bacterium. RNAcentral's name for it is "partial 16S ribosomal RNA". It matches the Rfam family "Bacterial small subunit ribosomal RNA", at positions 524 to 776 of the family's 1533-position model. The record is from RNAcentral.
UACGGAGGGUGCAAGCGUUGUCCGGAUUUAUUGGGUUUAAAGGGUGCGCAGGCGGCACGUUAAGUCAGUGGUGAAAUCCUCCCGCUCAACGGGAGAACUGCCAUUGAUACUGGCGUGCUUGAGUACGGACGAGGUAGGCGGAAUUUAUGGUGUAGCGGUGAAAUGCAUAGAUACCAUAAAGAACACCGAUAGCGAAGGCAGCUUACUAGACCGUAACUGACGCUCAUGCACGAAAGCGUGGGGAGCAAACAGG